GUGACAAAGCAAGACUUUGUCUCAAAAGAAAAAAAAGCUCUCCAUGUGGAUGUGGCCAAAGUUAAGUUGGGGCCAUAUUCAAUGUGUUACAAUUACUGGAGACAAAGCAGGAAUGGAGAUAUUUAAGAACUAUUACCUUAGGUCAUGAGAUUUGCAUUCAUUACCACCUUCACCUAAACCGCAUUUUAUUCCACUUGGAAGCAAGGUUGGUGGUUUCCGGCAGGCAAUAAAAUUCAAUGACAGAAAUUCCAAUCUAAUAAGUGACGGCUACCCAGCCUUUAAAAUUGUACAAAGUCUUGCUUUGUCACUCAGGCUGGAGUGCAGUAGUGCAAUUAUCACUCACCACAGCAUAGUGAGACCCUGUUUCUACAAAAAUCGUACCUAUAUAACACCAAAAUAACUUGCCUUAGAUCUGUUUUGCUUAGGAUUUAUUAUUCUGGCUUUAAAGUCUUUGUAGUCAAACUCAUGCUGCAAAUUAGCCAACAGUAAGUGCUGAAAAGAAUCUAAAACAAAACUUAGAUCAACCUUUUUAUUUUAGAAAUGAAAACUAUAGAGAUGAACUAGAGAGACAAUGGAAUACUGUCCUUUGGCUGAGUCCUGCUGAAACCUGGUGGUGACACACAGAAGCAGGGUGAAUAUUCAAGAAAUACUGUUAAAUCACAAACUACUCAGAUGCAAACACAAGAGUGCAUGCUGGAACUGGCUUAUGAAACACAAGCCAGCUGGCUGCCCUAGAAAAAGUCUGAGGAAAAAGCCUUCUUCAUCUAAUUCAUAAAUGGGAAAUUGAAUUUCCAGGCUUAGCUGGCUUAUUUUUAUCUUCUUUUGUUUGUUUGAACUAUGUAUUGCUGAAUAACUGUGACAACAUUGAAAAGAGGGUUCAUGAGUAAAGCAAGAGUUGAUCUUUCACAAAUCAGUGCUAUAAUCAUUUCUAUGGGAGAGGCUACAGAUGAUUCCAUGCAGGGAGCACUCUGUAUGAAUGAUGUGGCCUCAGGCUAGAACACUUGAAAAGCAGCAAAGGAAAACUUUCUGCCCAACUUAUUAGAGGGGUGUGUGUGUGUGUGUGUGUGUGUAUCUCACAUGAAUAUAUUAUACAUAUGUAUAUAUAACAUAUAUAUAUAUACACACACACACCACUGGUGUUUAUUUUCACAUGCUUUUUUAUUUUUAUUUUAUUUUAUUUUUAAAAUAGAGACAGUGUCUUUCUCCGUCACCCAGGCUGGAAUGCAGUGAUGUAAUCAUGGCUCACUGAAGCCUCGAACUUGAACUCCUGGGCUCAAACGAUCCUCCUGCCUUAGCCUCUUGAGUAGCUAGGACUAUAGCCACAUCCUACUAGGUCCAACUAAUUUUAAUUAUUUUUUGUGUGUGGAGAUGGUGGGGGCGGGGUGUCUCUCUAUGUUUCCCAGGCUGGUCUUGAACUCCUGGCCUCCAGCAAUCCUUCUGCCUUGAGCUCCCAAAGUGCUGGGAUCAUAGGCAUGAGCCACCGUACCCAGCCUAGUUUCACACUUUUAUACACUCUCCCAAGUAUCACAGGGCUGGAAGCACUUUGAUUUUGGUGUAUUGGGUAUAAUUUAUGUUCUGUCAAUGAAAUGCAAUCAUGCAAUAUUCCAAAGGCAGAAUAGAGGCUCAGAGAACCCAUAUGUUAAAAAAAAUUAUUCCUUUGACAGAUAAAUAACACUUUUUCUAAUUUAUUGAUUUUGUAAAUUUGGAAUUGUGAAGAAUCUCCCCUCCCCCAAGAAAAACCUGUUUGUUCAGCAUUCCUUGCAAUGAUUGAAUCCUUUACCAGACAAACAAGAUGAAUGAAUUAUCUUUUCUUCUUUUCCUUUGGCUUACUUUUUCUGUGACAUUGUUUGAGAGACUGAGCACAGUAUUUUGAAACAGAUGACAGGGUUGUCACCUUUGAGUGGCACAAAUUUAGUAGCAACAGUAGGGCGUUUUAUGACAAUUUCUUUACAGUAUGAAAUCCAAAAGUUAUUCUCUGUGCCUUCAUGAGGAAAUGACAUUGAGUGGCAAUAUUUAAGAUGGUGAUUGGGAGGAAAGGCGAGUGUGAGAAGGGCAGCCUAAUUUUCAUGAAAUGAAACAGCCCUAGACUUGCAAAAUGAUAAUCGUAUUACUGAACAAUGUGAUGAUUCUCUCACAUGAAUUGUUCACUUCCAGGAGGCAUUCAAUCAGGCAAGCUAUCAAGAAGAUCUGGCCUUUGAUAAACACAUCCACUUUAAUAGCAGUUCCCGAGAUGAAAUGUUUGGAUUUAUGGCACCCAAUCACUGCAGCUUGAAAAUAUGAAAUAACUUGCUAGUGAACUGCCAUGAAAACCAUUACAUUAUGCUAGGGUCUUCCUUUUAGUAAGAUAUGGGAUGUUAUUAAUUGAUUAAUCUCCCUCCCUAUUCUUAAAAAUGAUUUAAGGAGGGUGGCCAUUUGCUACGAUGGAAAAGUACGGCUUCCUGGUCUGAUAUAAAAUGAGAAAUUGCCCAAGAUGAGCUCUAAGAUGUCUUCUACAUAACAUCUUCUAUGAUACAAUUUUUGGGAGUCUGUCCUUCAAAACUUCAUUACAAGGGGUCAUAUUAAGAUGAACUCUUAAUAAUAAGCCUCCUUAUGUGGGGCUCACAGAGACCUAGAUUCGUCCUAGAAUCCACUGGGAUUUGAACUGUCAUGAUUCUGAAGCUUACAUGGAUCCACAGAGUUGAUGUCAACUUAAUUCCUUGGAAAAUUAGGAGACAAAGAUUUGUUCUCUGUUCUUAUUCCUAACUUGGUGAGUUCCACUAAUGGUUGCUACCUUUCAGAGGCACAGACUUUGUAAUAACAGGGGAUGGCGCAUUACAAUUUCUAUGUUACACAAAUUCUAAAAUUAAGUUUAGUGAUUGGGAGGGAAGGUGAUUGAGAAAAGUAUACUUUUCAACUAAUGAAACAACAUUUAACUUCUGAGAAGGUACUUGUUGUAUUACUUAGCAAUGUGGAGUUUCAUCCCAGGCUGAAUAGAUUUCAAGGCAAACGGUGUCAGUUAUAAUAAUGCUGAGAAUUUUUUCUGGCCAAUGUUAUAUAAGAAAAGGUUUUAUUAAAGAAAGUUUAAGCAGCAUGAUUCAUAACAGCCAAAAAGCGGAAGCAACCCAAGUGUCCACAGCCAGAUCAAUGAAUAAACAAAAUGUGUUAUAUCCAUAAGAUGAAAUAUUUUUCAGCCUUAAAAGGAAGGAAAUUCUGACACAUGUUGAAAUGCUACAACAUGAAUGAAACUUGAAGGCAUGCAAUGUGAAACCAGACACAAAAGGACAAAUACUAUAUAAUUUCAUUGAUUUGAGGUACCUAGAAUAGUGAAAUUCAUAGAGAUAGAAAGUAGAAUGGAGGUGGCCAUGGGUUUGGGGAGUGGGGAAUGGGGAGUUAUUGUUUAAAGGCUACAGAGUUGCAGUUUGGAAAGAUGAAAAAGUUCUUCCCAAAGUUUUGGGAUGGUGGAUAGUGGUGAUGAAUGUACUAAAAGCCACAAAACCACACACUUACAAAUGGUUAAAAUGGCAAAUUAUAUAUGUUACACAUAUUUCACCACAAGUAUAAUACUAAAUUUAAAAAGAACAGAAAGAGUUUAAAAUGACUUCAACUACAUCUUCAUAUUUAUUCCUUUUCCUAAUUUAAGAGGGAAAUAAUUUCAGUUCCCCAGAGUUCUGUGUUUCUGGUAUUUUAAUGUGGAAUAAAAUGUUACCAACUCGUUUUUGCUUCUAUUAAGAUCUCGCUCUUGGUAGGCCACUGGCUUUGAGAAACAUCUUGUGUCUUUGAAUUCAGAUAAAAUAGAGUUACAGCUAAUUACAUCUUGGAUUUGUUUUACAAUUACAAAUAUAGAAGGUAGAUGAAGAAAAAUUAUGUUCCAAUCUUUGAAAACUGCCAUUUGGAAGAUUGUCUACAUGAUGGUUUACAUUAAAGGUGCAAUAUUAGCAUGGCUUUUUAUUACUAAAUAUAUUUUAAAAUAUACAUUUGGGCAUUAACUUUAAGAUACUUAUAAAAUAUUUUCUUAUUUGCUAAAGCGAAUCCCUUUGAUUUAUAAUAUACUUCUUGUCCAUUUAUAAAUAUUUAAUGAAACCUUACUCUUUUUUUUGCUUUUUAUGGUGCAUAAAAUAGAUUGAUAGUGUCUCAAAAGUUUUUUUAUUUUUCCAUUUUCUGUUAUAAAAAUAAUCAUGAAUACCUUUAUGUGUCAAAAUUUCAAGCCAAUACUACUGAAGUGAGAAUAAUUUUUCUACUUUUUAAAAGAAAAGUCACAAUCGUCUGUCAAGUGUUUUAAAAUUCAGAUUCUCAUUCAAAAAUUUGCAUGAGAUUUAUUUUAAAACAGUUUUUUUUCUUCCCAAGAUGAUAGUAAAAGAUAGGAGAGAAAAGAAAGAAAAGAUGGUAAAAGAUGAUGGUAAAAGACACGGCUUGACGCACCUACACAUACGCUGAUAGACUAUAGAGCACCUUAAUUUUUUUCCCUUUUUGAUCUCCUCACCUUUUUUUUUUUUUUUUUGAGAUAGAGUCUCACUCUGUCACCCAGGCUGGAGUACAGCAGCGCGAUCUCGGCUCACUGCAACCUCCGCUUCCCGGGUUCAAGGGAUUCUUCUGCCUCAGUCUCCUGAGUAGCUGGGACUACAGGCAUGCAC
Molecule: long non-coding RNA, 4610 nt
Filed under: Homo sapiens (human)
Lineage: Eukaryota; Metazoa; Chordata; Mammalia; Primates; Hominidae
Description: HSALNT0203968
Source: RNAcentral